RNAcentral lists this ribosomal RNA (870 nucleotides) under uncultured bacterium. RNAcentral describes it as "bacterial SSU rRNA". It matches the Rfam family "Bacterial small subunit ribosomal RNA", at positions 28 to 896 of the family's 1533-position model. The record is from RNAcentral.
AUUGAACGCUGGCGGCAUGCCUAGCACAUGCAAGUCGAACGGAGGUAGGGGCAACCUUACUUCAGUGGCGGACGGGUGAGGAAUGCGUCGGAAUCUACCCUAUGGUGGGGGAUAACACAGGGAAACUUGUGCUAAUACCGCAUAAUGUCGAGAGACCAAAGCAGGGGACCGCAAGGCCUUGCGCGAUAGGAUGAGCCGACGCCCGAUUAGCUUGUUGGUAGGGUAAUGGCCUACCAAGGCUACGAUCGGUAGCUGGUCUGAGAGGAUGAUCAGCCACACUGGGACUGAGACACGGCCCAGACUCCUACGGGAGGCAGCAGUGGGGAAUAUUGGACAAUGGGCGCAAGCCUGAUCCAGCAAUGCCGCGUGUGUGAAGAAGGCCUGCGGGUUGUAAAGCACUUUUGUUCGGGAAGAAAUCAUAUUGGCUAAUACCUGAUGUGGAUGACGGUACCGGAAGAAUAAGCACCGGCUAACUUCGUGCCAGCAGCCGCGGCAAUACGAAGGGUGCAAGCGUUAAUCGGAAUUACUGGGCGUAAAGCGUGCGUAGGCGGCUUUUUAAGUCGGAUGUGAAAUCCCCGGGCUCAACCUGGGAAUGGCAUUCGAUACUGGGGAGCUAGAGUUUGGGAGAGGGUGGUGGAAUUCCCGGUGUAGCGGUGAAAUGCGUAGAGAUCGGGAGGAACAUCAGUGGCGAAGGCGGCCACCUGGCCUAAAACUGACGCUGAGGCGCGAAAGCGUGGGGAGCAAACAGGAUUAGAUACCCUGGUAGUCCACGCCCUAAACGAUGAGAACUGGACGUUGGGAGGAAUUUGCCUCUUAGUGUCGAAGCUAACGCGUGAAGUUCUCCGCCUGGGGAGUACGCUCGCAAGAGUG